CUUCAUUCGACUCCCCUCAUUCCACCCGAUCCCCUCCCACAGUAGCGUGAUGAAAAUAGAAAAGAGAAAUUGUCUUUGUUAUUGUUUUUGCUAAUAUGAUAGGUGAACAAAAAAUAUUUUGAGGGAAAAGUAACUAACAUGUGUCCUAUUUGCCUUACUACAUCAAUAUGGAGCAACAUGAAGUGCUUCUCUUGGCACAAGUUGAUUGCUUCAGUGGGUACCUUCUGUGCUCUCCUCUUCAGAAACUGAGCUUUAACUUGAGAUUGUAUAUUUUGCCGCGGGUCCGCACAAGAAGUUGCAAUAUGAUGUUUGAAGGCUUUGCAGCAUCACAGAUUUUCGCCUAUAUAUAUGAAUGUUCAUACACAGACAGACCCUGGCGAACUUGUAAGAGAAAUGUUUGGAUGUCAAGCAUGGUUGCACUUGAUUUCCUCGCUUACGGUAAUCUUAAUUAUAGGAAGAAAGAGAAUGAUCUA
Molecule: long non-coding RNA, 473 nt
Organism: Lycium ferocissimum
Lineage: Eukaryota; Viridiplantae; Streptophyta; Magnoliopsida; Solanales; Solanaceae
Exons: 2
Source: RefSeq, a predicted model, not a curated record